AUUGAACGCUGGCGGCAGGCUUAACACAUGCAAGUCGAGCGGGGGAAGGUAGCUUGCUACCGGACCUAGCGGCGGACGGGUGAGUAAUGCUUAGGAAUCUGCCUAUUAGUGGGGGACAACAUCUCGAAAGGGAUGCUAAUACCGCAUACGUCCUACGGGAGAAAGCAGGGGAUCUUCGGACCUUGCGCUAAUAGAUGAGCCUAAGUCGGAUUAGGUAGUUGGUGGGGUAAAGGCCUACCAAGGCGACGAUCUGUAGCGGGUCUGAGAGGAUGAUCCGCCACCCUGGGACGGGUAAACGGCCCAGACUACUACGGGAGGCAGCAGUGGGGAAGAUUGGACAAUGGGGGGAACCCUGAUCCAGCCAUGCCGCGUGUGUGAAGAAGGCCUUAUGGUUGUAAAGCACUUUAAGCGAGGAGGAGGCUACUCAGAUUAAUACUCUAGGAUAGUGGACGUUACUCGCAGAAUAAGCACCGGCUAACUCUGUGCCAGCCGCCGCCGUAA
This 501-nucleotide ribosomal RNA is filed under the name uncultured bacterium. Its description in RNAcentral is "partial 16S ribosomal RNA". It matches the Rfam family "Bacterial small subunit ribosomal RNA", at positions 30 to 523 of the family's 1533-position model. The record is from RNAcentral.